Molecule: ribosomal RNA, 274 nt
Filed under: uncultured bacterium
Lineage: Bacteria
Description: partial 16S ribosomal RNA
Rfam family: Bacterial small subunit ribosomal RNA
Source: RNAcentral
AUACGAAGGGUGCAAGCGUUGUUCGGAUUUAUUGGGCGUAAAGCGCGCGCAGGCGGAUUAAUAAGUCAGGUGUGAAAUCUUGGGGCUUAACCCCGAAACUGCGCCUGAAACUGUUAGUCUAGAAUCUUGGAGAGGGAAGUAGAAUUUCGCAUGUAGGGGUAAAAUCCGUAGAGAUGCGAAGGAACACCAGAGGCGAAGGCGACUUCCUGGACAAGUAUUGACGCUGAGGCGCGAAAGCAUGGGUAGCGAACAGGAUUAGAUACCCUAGUAGUCC